This 236-nucleotide ribosomal RNA is filed under the name uncultured bacterium. Its description in RNAcentral is "partial 16S ribosomal RNA". It matches the Rfam family "Bacterial small subunit ribosomal RNA", at positions 97 to 334 of the family's 1533-position model. The record is from RNAcentral.
GGCGAACGGGUGAGUAACACGUGAGUAACCUGCCCUUGACUCUGGGAUAAGCCUGGGAAACUGGGUCUAAUACCGGAUAUGACUCCUCAUCGCAUGGUGGGGGGUGGAAAGCUUUUGUGGUUUUGGAUGGACUCGCGGCCUAUCAGCUUGUUGGUGAGGUAAUGGCUUACCAAGGCGACGACGGGUAGCCGGCCUGAGAGGGUGACCGGCCACACUGGGACUGAGACACGGCCCAG